AGAGAUGGAAUUUUCCAGGUGUCCAGGGCUUCUUAGGAGAUGUCUGUACAAGAUCUGGUGCAGGGUUCCCCAGCCUUGGCACCAGGGAUCUGCACACUGCAGGGUGGCCAGCAGCAUCCUUGGCCUCCAGCCACUAGGUGUCAGUAGCAAGUAACUGUCCCCUUUUGAGAGCGACUGCUCUGGGCGCUCAGAGGCGAGACCAGGUAACUGCUGGCCACCCGAGCAGGCGAGUCACCUUCUGAAAGUCAAGUUAUGGAUGCUUGGGGAGCGGGAAGGAGCGUGUCCUGUGCGGAAGUCUCCUGAUGUCUGAGUGCAACCGUGGGAACAUGUACACAGAGAAAAAGAAAUGUCUAAACAUGCAGAGGCAGACGGCGCGCUAACUCUGAACCUGAGGAAUGGAGAUGCCAGGUGUGCUGUGCUGACUAACUCCCAGCCGCCCCGGAACACCACCGUCCUCCCUGGGAGGCGCUGGUGAGCGAGCCCUCGAGCUACACCCCUUCGGCCUGGUUACUGUCUUCCCUGCUUUGCAAGCGUCGGCCUCCCGUACCCAGAAGGCUUCCUGAGAUUCUUGUCCAUUCUCCAGACACCCAACCCCGCCCCUCGUUGCAUGCUCCGUGGUCAAUAAAUAACUGGGUGCCAUGCUAA
Molecule: long non-coding RNA, 645 nt
Organism: Heterocephalus glaber (naked mole-rat)
Lineage: Eukaryota; Metazoa; Chordata; Mammalia; Rodentia; Bathyergidae
Source: RefSeq, a predicted model, not a curated record